RNAcentral lists this long non-coding RNA (1064 nucleotides) under Ananas comosus (pineapple). RNAcentral describes it as "long non-coding RNA (ACOM_LNC008684)". Lineage: Eukaryota; Viridiplantae; Streptophyta; Magnoliopsida; Poales; Bromeliaceae. The record is from RNAcentral.
CAGACCCGCACAAAUAGAUCCGAUGGUUAUAUUAGUAACUUAAGUACCUAGACCCUGACCCGACCCGAAGUUAAAUGGGUAGGGUAUAUUUAUACUUUUCUAACUAUUUGUUUUAGGGUAUGGAUACAGUAUAUUAAUUAUCCAGAUCUGAUCUGAUCCAUGGACACCUUUAAGUUUGGACCCAGGGGGAGUUUGUAACGCUCUAAUAGAAUAUAUGAGGCAUGCAAGUCAGUAAUAGUAACUAGACUUAAAUAUUUUAGAUCGGUGGUUUGAAUCCAAUGAAUUAUUAUUGCUAGCGGAUCUGUUUGUUACAUAUUUGCCAUUCGAUAUAUUUAUAAGGGUCAAUUUCAUUUGUGCCCCUCUAAACUUCAAAAAUAUCCUAGAUGCCCCUAUAAAUUUGAUUAUAUCACAAUUACCUCUACAAAUACUUACUAGUUUUCAAAUAUACCCUUACCCUUACUAUUCAUCUCUUUAUAGAAUGAUAAAAUAUUUAGAUUAUCAUAAAUAUGGUCGAAAUGUCCAUUUUGCCCUUAACUUCUAAAAUUUUUUACAAAAGUAUUUUAGCAUGAUAUAUUUAUUUUAAAAUAUUAAAAUUUAUAAUAAAAUAUAUCAUUUUACUACUGUGUAGUUUGUAAAAUAAGAUACUAAAAUAAGAUACUUUAUAUCAUUUAUUUUAAAAUUCGAGAUACCAAAGCACAGAAAUUUGUACUAGUUCAAAUAUCUUAAUUCACAUCAUGCAUAUAUAUUUAAGUUAUAUUUUGAAUAAAUUGUUUAACCUUAUUUUAAUGAGUCAAUUGAUAACAAUUUUUUGCUAAAUUUUUUUCAAAAUUUUUGAUUUUUUGAUUUUUUAGCUUAAUUUGUCAUGAUUAUAUAUAUUUUUUAAUUGAAAAUUGAUAAUAAAUUAGUGUAAAGGUUAUUUUUAAAAAAAAAAUUUUUAAUAAAAUUAUUUAUGAUAUUUUAAUUUUUAUAGGGGCAUUCAUAAUAUUAGAUUUAUUUGGAAGGACAGUUAUAAAAUUUUUUCUGUUUAUAAAGAGUUGAAACUAACUUUUUUUUAAUACAAAUUU